This 468-nucleotide ribosomal RNA is filed under the name uncultured bacterium. RNAcentral's name for it is "partial 16S ribosomal RNA". It matches the Rfam family "Bacterial small subunit ribosomal RNA", at positions 28 to 507 of the family's 1533-position model. The record is from RNAcentral.
GACGAACGCUGGCGGCGUGCUUAACACAUGCAAGUCGAACGGAAAGGCCCUGCUUUUGUGGGGUGCUUGAUUGGCGAACGGGUGAGUAACACGUGAGUAACCUGCACUUGACUUUGGGGUAACUUCUGGAAAAUGGGGCUAUUACCGGAUAGGAGAUCUUGAUGCAUGGUGGGGGUUGGUAAGUUUCGGCGGUUGGGGUUGGGAUCGCGGGUUAUGAGCUUGUUGGUGGGGUAGUGGCUUACCAAGGCUUUGAAGGGUAGCCGGCCUGAGAGGUUGGACGGCCACAUUGGGACUAAGAUACGGCCCAGACUCCUACGGGAGGCAGCAGUGGAGAACAUUGCAGAAUGGGCGGAAGCCUGAUGCAGCAACGCCGCGUGCGGGAUAACGGCCUUCGGGCGGUAAACCGCUUUCGCCUGUGACGAAGCGUGAGUGACGGUAAUGAGUAAAGAAGCACCGGCUAACUACGUG